GAUGAACGCUGGCGGCGUGCCUAACACAUGCAAGUCGAACGGAGCUUGACCCUUCGGGGUUAAGCUUAGUGGCGAACGGGUGAGUAACGCGUGAGGAACCUGCCCUUUAGAGGGGGACAACAGUUGGAAACGACUGCUAAUACCGCAUAACGUACAUUGGGGACAUCCCCGAAGUACCAAAGGAGCAAUCCGCUGAAGGAUGGCCUCGCGUCUGAUUAGAUAGUUGGUGAGGUAACGACUCACCAAGUCGACGAUCAGUAGCCGGACUGAGAGGUUGAACGGCCACAUUGGGACUGAGACACGGACCAGACUCCUACGGGAGGCAGCAGUGAGGAAUAUUGGUCAAUGGUCGGAAGACUGAACCAGCCAUGCCGCGUGAAGGAAGAAUGUCCUAUGGAUUGUAAACUUCUUUUGUAAGGGAGCAAUAAGUUCCAUGCGUGGGAUGAUGAGAGUACCUUACGAAUAAGCAUCGGCUAACUCCGUG
Molecule: ribosomal RNA, 484 nt
Filed under: uncultured bacterium
Lineage: Bacteria
Description: bacterial SSU rRNA
Rfam family: Bacterial small subunit ribosomal RNA
Source: RNAcentral